GCGGAAGUGGCGGAACUGGCAGACGCGCUAGACUAAGGAUCUAGUGAGGUAACACUCGUGGAGGUUCGAGUCCUCUCUUCCGCACCA
RNAcentral lists this transfer RNA (87 nucleotides) under Myxococcales bacterium. RNAcentral describes it as "tRNA-Leu". It matches the Rfam family "tRNA". Rfam says of the family: Transfer RNA (tRNA) molecules are approximately 80 nucleotides in length. RNAcentral also lists the same sequence under 1 other name. The record is from RNAcentral. Lineage: Bacteria; Pseudomonadati; Myxococcota; Myxococcia; Myxococcales.